UGGGUAAUCAACCCCUGGCACCGGGAUAGCCCGAGGAAACUCGGAUUAAUACCGGAUAGCCCCUCCGACUCUCGAGUCGGUCGGGAAAGGUAGCUUAGGCCUCUGGCCGGGGACGAGCCCGCGGCGGAUUAGCUUGUUGGUGGGGUAAUGGCCUACCAAGGCAACGAUCCGUAGCUGGUCUGAGAGGACGAUCAGCCACAUUGGGACUGAGACACGGCCCAAACUCCUACGGGAGGCAG
RNAcentral lists this ribosomal RNA (239 nucleotides) under uncultured bacterium. RNAcentral describes it as "partial 16S ribosomal RNA". It matches the Rfam family "Bacterial small subunit ribosomal RNA", at positions 118 to 351 of the family's 1533-position model. The record is from RNAcentral.